UGUUUCGGCUAGGGGGCCAUCCCGGCUUACCAACCCGAUGCAAACUGCGAAUACCGGAGAAUGUUAUCACGGGAGACACACGGCGGGUGCUAACGUCCGUCGUGAAGAGGGAAACAACCCAGACCGCCAGCUAAGGUCCCAAAGUCAUGGUUAAGUGGGAAACGAUGUGGGAAGGCCCAGACAGCCAGGAUGUUGGCUUAGAAGCAGCCAUCAUUUAAAGAAAGCGUAAUAGCUCACUGGUCGAGUCGGCCUGCGCGGAAGAUGUAACGGGGCUAAACCAUGCACCGAAGCUGCGGCAGCGACGCUGAUGCGUUGUUGGGUAGGGGAGCGUUCUGUAAGCCUGCGAAGGUGGCCUGUGAGGGUUGCUGGAGGUAUCAGAAGUGCGAAUGCUGACAUAAGUAACGAUAAAGCGGGUGAAAAGCCCGCUCGCCGGAAGACCAAGGGUUCCU
RNAcentral lists this ribosomal RNA (449 nucleotides) under Salmonella enterica. RNAcentral describes it as "partial 23S ribosomal RNA". It matches the Rfam family "Bacterial large subunit ribosomal RNA", at positions 911 to 1356 of the family's 2925-position model. Lineage: Bacteria; Pseudomonadati; Pseudomonadota; Gammaproteobacteria; Enterobacterales; Enterobacteriaceae. The record is from RNAcentral.